CUUUAUCACACAGUCAUCCAUUUAAGGGUAAAAGGUCCAAUCAAAUGGUGCUCAUUGAGAAACAUUGUGGGACCCAGGGCUCAGCAAGUGACGUGACCUGUUUUGGAAGCAAAAUUUACAUCAGUCAGUCUGGAAGACUGUUCUGUGAUGAUUCGGUCAUGUUUGUGCAUGCAGUGUUGUUGGGCUCGGGUACUAAAUUAAUUUUUUUUUCUGUAUAGGCAGCGUUUCAAGCUGAAACACUGCACAUACAGACUGCUUGCACCAUAUGCAGGACUUAGAGUUCGCAAGUCUUGCAGUCAGAGCAGUAUGUAGGUAGCACUUCUGAUGAUCAACUCAAGAAUAGCUGUCUUAUUUAUUUCAUUCAUCUAUUUCAAUUAUAUC
This is a non-coding RNA of Pelobates cultripes (western spadefoot toad), 381 nucleotides long. Lineage: Eukaryota; Metazoa; Chordata; Amphibia; Anura; Pelobatidae. The record is from the annotation of a GenBank genome assembly.